RNAcentral lists this ribosomal RNA (301 nucleotides) under uncultured bacterium. RNAcentral's name for it is "partial 16S ribosomal RNA". It matches the Rfam family "Bacterial small subunit ribosomal RNA", at positions 509 to 807 of the family's 1533-position model. The record is from RNAcentral.
CAGUCGCCGCGGUAAUACGGAGGGUGCAAGCGUUAUCCGGAUUCACUGGGUUUAAAGGGUGCGUAGGCGGGCAGGUAAGUCAGUGGUGAAAUCUUCGAGCUUAACUCGGAAACUGCCGUUGAUACUAUCUGUCUUGAAUAACGUUGAGGUGAGCGGAAUAUGUCAUGUAGCGGUGAAAUGCUUAGAUAUGACAUAGAACACCGAUUGCGAAGGCAGCUCACUAAACGCUCAUUGACGCUGAGGCACGAAAGCGUGGGGAUCAAACAGGAUUAGAGACCCCUGUAGUCCCUGUCUCUUAUAC